Molecule: long non-coding RNA, 1845 nt
Organism: Mustela putorius furo (domestic ferret)
Lineage: Eukaryota; Metazoa; Chordata; Mammalia; Carnivora; Mustelidae
Source: Ensembl
AGAAAAGUCCAGUUCUGUUAGUAACUAGAUUUUUGUAUAGAAGAGAUAACGAAAGUCUUUGGCACAGGCUGUAAAAAGGUUUUGGAAAGAAGUAGAGGUAACAAAAGUGACAAGGGUAGUUAAAAAAAUGAACAGUAAGGAGUAUGAUGCAUUAAGGAGAAAUAUGAUCCUAUCAGAAAUUAUGAUUAUGGCCAAUAAAUGUGAAAAAGUUUGAGAACAUUUAUUUCUUUAUUAAUUGCUUUAGAUACUUUAUUCAUUGAUUAAGAGUUGCUUACUUUCAUGAAAUCCCGUUUUCUGAUCUGAGCUAAACAGGGCAAGUUUAAAGGCGGGGCUCAGAAGAGUUCAUAGCCUUUUUACUACAUUCAUUUUUAAAUGCCUUAUUUGAAAGAGGAUGUCCUAGUUUAUGAUUUUCAUAUUUUUUUCCCUUUUAGAAAGAGGCAGAUGGUAUGAAAACUGGACUCCCUUAUUUAAAGGGAAUGUUGAUAUUUAUAACCAAGCUUAUCUCCAGCAAGAUUUGUUUUUUGCAGCUGUUCCAGGGGCAAAUAGCAAAUUACUGACAAUAAUCAUUCUCUUUUGGAAAUAUCUUCUAGAGGACCUGAUUCAGAGGGAAAUAACUCAAUCAAAAUUAAUAUAAGAAACAAUAGCUAUCAUUCUGUUGGGUACCUUUGUUAAUUGAGUCUUAGAGUUGUACUGAAGAACAUUGAUCAUAUGGAUGUGUUGCUUUUCAAAUGUGAGUAUUCAACCAGGUCAGUAUUCUUUACUAGUGUAGACAAAAGCUAGUUGUCUAUAUUUCACAGUUACAGCAGAAUUCAGAUUAGAAUUAUAUUACAAAUAUUACAAAAAUAUUUUCUUAUUGUCAUUGUUAGCAAGAUCAGGGUAGGGUGGAACCCAGGUUCUCUGAUAAGGCUAGUUGAACUGUCCAAAGACCCCCUACUAGGAUAAAACAUAAACAGACACCUAAGCACAUCAAAAUUAAAUUGUUGAAAACAGGGAUAAAAGAAAUCUAAAAUAGUCACAGCAGGGGAUUUAUAUGAAGUAAAGAAAAAAAAUUAAUUUAAAGAAUGUUCUUCAAUACUAUGCCAACUAGAAGACAAAGGAGUGACAUAUUUCAAGUACUGAAAAAAAAAUUCUAUACCCAGCAAAAAUAUUCUUUAAACAUGAAAGACAAAACAAAUACUUAUGUAUCUAAAAAACCAGCUGAGAGAAUUUGUUGCCAAAAACUUACACUGCAAGAAAUGUUAAAGGAAGUUCUUCAGAAAAAAGGAAAAUUAAACAUCAAUCUAUGAAUGAAUAAAAAGAACUGGAAAUAGGAAAUAUGUUGAUAAAUAUGAAAAACAUUUUUCUCAUUUUUAAAACUUUGAAAAAUAUAUUUGUUUAAAGCAAAUAUAUUGGCUAUGGCUUAUUUAUUAUACAUGUAGAUGUAACAUGUGACAUAAUAAUGUCCCAAAGGAUUGGGGAAGGAAAAUGGAAGUUUACUGUAGUAGUAGCAGAUUAUUUGAAGAUAGACUGUGACAAGAAAUAUAUGGACAUUAUAAAUUCUAGAGUGACCACUAAAAAUAUGAAACAAGAAGGAAUAACUACAAAUUAAAAGGGAAGAUAGAAUAGAAUACUAAAAUAUGUUCAAUUAAUUGCAAAGCAGAAAGUAAAGAACAAGGAAAAGAAUAGAACAUAAAUUUCAUGAUAGUAGAUAUAAACACAAACAAUUCCAUUAAAUAAAGUGAUUCUCACACUCCAUUUAUAUAUAUAUAUAUAUAUAAAUGAACUCAUUGAAUGUUUAUCAAAUUUAAUCUUUAGGUAAUGUAUUCUCCUUGGUUCUUAGAGUCUCUUCAAAAUUUGCAUAUAUAU